Myotis brandtii (Brandt's bat) is the source of this 74-nucleotide non-coding RNA. The record is from Rfam. Lineage: Eukaryota; Metazoa; Chordata; Mammalia; Chiroptera; Vespertilionidae.
GGUGGUUCUCAGGUGAUGCACCCCAGAAUCAGGCUCCCUCCUCUCUGGUUCCAGUGUGUCACCCAAGAACUGCA